AGCCAUGACAGCAGCAAAGAUGAUGAUUCCUACUGGCUGCACUCUCAAUUUUCCAAUGGGAUACUUGUAUAUAUUAAUGCUUUUCAUUGACAAGUGUGUGAACCAUAGAAUACCACCAGCCAUGAGAUCCAGCAAAGAAUCUAGUGUUGAUGCUGCAAUAGCUAAAGAUCCACUCUUUAUAGUAGCAUAUAUCUUGAAAGCAAGCAAAAAGAUAUUUGCCCAAUUAGAAAUGUUCAUUGCUCUCUCAUGUUGGAGCUGUUCCUGAUUUUCCUGCUCUUCAUCAAUGUCAUGCGAGUUCAGGCAAUCAACUUCCUCAAAAGAUUGUAAUGUUGCAAAUUGUUUUUGAUAGUAUUCCUUCUCUCCUGGAAUCAAGCCCUUGGUUUUAGAAAGGUCAAGAUUGAAAGGGGUCUCAGGAUCAAGACCAGCUCGAACCUUAUCAGGCAAAUUGGAGAUGAAAUCACAUUUUAGAUAAGUAACAGAGUUACGACGACGCCGUCUUGAUUCUAUUCCAUUCUUCUGGUUGUCACAUUUAGCUUCACUAGACAACAAUGGCGUUUCUACACCAGCACCUGCCAUUAUAUCUUCUCUUCUAU
This 593-nucleotide unclassified non-coding RNA is filed under the name Hevea brasiliensis (rubber tree). The record is from RNAcentral. Lineage: Eukaryota; Viridiplantae; Streptophyta; Magnoliopsida; Malpighiales; Euphorbiaceae.